This 395-nucleotide ribosomal RNA is filed under the name uncultured bacterium. RNAcentral's name for it is "partial 16S ribosomal RNA". It matches the Rfam family "Bacterial small subunit ribosomal RNA", at positions 523 to 918 of the family's 1533-position model. The record is from RNAcentral.
AUACGUAGGGUGCAAGCGUUAAUCGGAAUUACUGGGCGUAAAGCGUGCGCAGGCGGUUUUGUAAGACAGGGGUGAAAUCCCCGGGCUCAACCUGGGAACUGCCAUUGUGACUGCAAGGCUGGAGUGCGGCAGAGGGGGGUGGAAUUCCGCGUGUAGCAGUGAAAUGCGUAGAUAUGCGGAGGAACACCGAUGGCGAAGGCAAUCCCCUGGGCCUGCACUGACGCUCAUGCACGAAAGCGUGGGGAGCAAACAGGAUUAGAUACCCUGGUAGUCCACGCCGUAAACGAUGUCAACUGGUUGUUGGGGAUUUAUUUUCUCAGUAACGAAGCUAACGCGUGAAGUUGACCGCCUGGGGAGUACGGCCGCAAGGUUAAAACUCAAAUGAAUUGACGGGG